AAACUACGAAUACCGAAGAAUGUUAUCACGGGAGACACACGGCGGGUGCUAACGUCCGUCGUGAAGAGGGAAACAACCCAGACCGCCAGCUAAGGUCCCAAAGUCAUGGUUAAGUGGGAAACGAUGUGGGAAGGCACAGACAGCCAGGAUGUUGGCUUAGAAGCAGCCAUCAUUUAAAGAAAGCGUAAUAGCUCACUGGUCGAGUCGGCCUGCGCGGAAGAUGUAACGGGGCUAAACCAUGCACCGAAGCUGCGGCAGCGACACUAUGUGUUGUUGGGUAGGGGAGCGUUCUGUAAGCCUGCGAAGGUGUGCUGUGAGGCAUGCUGGAGGUAUCAGAAGUGCGAAUGCUGACAUAAGUAACGAUAAAGCGGGUGAAAAGCCCGCUCGCCGGAAGACCAAGGGUUCCUGUCCAACGUUAAUCGGGGCAGGGUGAGUCGACCCCUAAGGCGAGGCCGAAAGGCGUAGUCGAUGGGAAACAGGUUAAUAUUCCUGUACUUGGUGUUACUGCGAAGGGGGGACGGAGAAGGCUAUGUUAGCCGGGCGACGGUUGUCCCGGUUUAAGCAUGUAGGCUGAUUGUCCAGGCAAAUCCGGAUAAUCAAGGCUGAGGUGUGAUGACGAGGCACUACGGUGCUGAAGUAACAAAUGCCCUGCUUCCAGGAAAAGCCUCUAAGCAUCAGGUAACAUUAAAUCGUACCCCAAACCGACACAGGUGGUCAGGUAGAGAAUACCAAGGCGCUUGAGAGAACUCGGGUGAAGGAACUAGGCAAAAUGGUGCCGUAACUUCGGGAGAAGGCACGCUGGUGUGUAGGUGAAGUCCCUGCGGAUGGAGCUGAGACCAGUCGAAGAUACCAGCUGGCUGCAACUGUUUAUUAAAAACACAGCACUGUGCAAACACGAAAGUGGACGUAUACGGUGUGACGCCUGCCCGGUGCCGGAAGGUUAAUUGAUGGGGUUAUCCGUAAGGAGAAGCUCUUGAUCGAAGCCCCGGUAAACGGCGGCCGUAACUAUAACGGUCCUAAGGUAGCGAAAUUCCUUGUCGGGUAAGUUCCGACCUGCACGAAUGGCGUAAUGAUGGCCAGGCUGUCUCCACCCGAGACUCAGUGAAAUUGAACUCGCUGUGAAGAUGCAGUGUACCCGCGGCAAGACGGAAAGACCCCGUGAACCUUUACUAUAGCUUGACACUGAACAUUGAGCCUUGAUGUGUAGGAUAGGUGGGAGGCUUUGAAGCGUGGACGCCAGUCUGCGUGGAGCCAACCUUGAAAUACCACCCUUUAAUGUUUGAUGUUCUAACGUUGGCCCCUGACCGGGGUUGCGGACAGUGUCUGGUGGGUAGUUUGACUGGGGCGGUCUCCUCCCAAAGCGUAACGGAGGAGCACGAAGGUUAGCUAAUCCUGGUCGGACAUCAGGAGGUUAGUGCAAUGGCAUAAGCUAGCUUGACUGCGAGCGUGACGGCGCGAGCAGGUGCGAAAGCAGGUCAUAGUGAUCCGGUGGUUCUGAAUGGAAGGGCCAUCGCUCAACGGAUAAAAGGUACUCCGGGGAUAACAGGCUGAUACCGCCCAAGAGUUCAUAUCGACGGCGGUGUUUGGCACCUCGAUGUCGGCUCAUCACAUCCUGGGGCUGAAGUAGGUCCCAAGGGUAUGGCUGUUCGCCAUUUAAAGUGGUACGCGAGCUGGGUUUAGAACGUCGUGAGACAGUUCGGUCCCUAUCUGCCGUGGGCGCUGGAGAAUUGAGGGGGGCUGCUCCUAGUACGAGAGGACCGGAGUGGACGCAUCACUGGUGUUCGGGUUGUCAUGCCAAUGGCACUGCCCGGUAGCUAAAUGCGGAAGAGAUAAGUGCUGAAAGCAUCUAAGCACGAAACUUGCCCCGAGAUGAGUUCUCCCUGAGACUUUAAGUCUCCUGAAGGAACGUUAAAGACGAUGACGUUGAUAGGCCGGGUGUGUAAGCGCAGCGAUGCGUUGAGCUAACCGGUACUAAUGAACCGUGAGGCUUAACCUU
Molecule: ribosomal RNA, 1996 nt
Filed under: Klebsiella pneumoniae
Lineage: Bacteria; Pseudomonadati; Pseudomonadota; Gammaproteobacteria; Enterobacterales; Enterobacteriaceae
Description: bacterial LSU rRNA
Rfam family: Bacterial large subunit ribosomal RNA
Source: RNAcentral